CUCCGUAGGGUGAACCUGCGGAGGGAUCAUUGCUGGAACGCGCUUCGGCGCACCCAGAAACCCUUUGUGAACUUAUACCUACUGUUGCCUCGGCGUCAGGCCGGCCCCUUCACUGGGGCCCCCCGGAGACGGGGAGCAGCCCGCCGGCGGCCAACUAAACUCUUGUUUCUACAGUGAAUCUCUGAGUAAAAAACAUAAAUGAAUCAAAACUUUCAACAACGGAUCUCUUGGUUCUGGCAUCGAUGAAGAACGCAGCGAAAUGCGAUAAGUAAUGUGAAUUGCAGAAUUCAGUGAAUCAUCGAAUCUUUGAACGCACAUUGCGCCCCCUGGUAUUCCGGGGGGCAUGCCUGUUCGAGCGUCAUUUCAACCCUCAAGCCUGGCUUGGUGAUGGGGCACUGCUUCGAGAGGAGCAGGCCCUGAAAUUCAGUGGCGAGCUCGCCAGGACCCCGAGCGUAGUAGUUAUAUCUCGCUUUGGAAGGCCCUGGCGGUGCCCUGCCGUUAAACCCCCAACUUCUGAAAAUUGACCUCGGAUCACGUAGAUCCACUCUUUUU
Molecule: ribosomal RNA, 552 nt
Filed under: Cytospora leucosperma
Lineage: Eukaryota; Fungi; Ascomycota; Sordariomycetes; Diaporthales; Cytosporaceae
Description: eukaryotic LSU rRNA
Rfam family: 5.8S ribosomal RNA (bases 208-361)
Source: RNAcentral